RNAcentral lists this small RNA (132 nucleotides) under Klebsiella pneumoniae. RNAcentral describes it as "RtT sRNA". It matches the Rfam family "RtT RNA". Rfam says of the family: This family represents a bacterial cis-regulatory element known as RtT RNA. The exact function of RtT is unknown although it is thought that it may be involved in changing the cellular response in relation to amino acid starvation. Lineage: Bacteria; Pseudomonadati; Pseudomonadota; Gammaproteobacteria; Enterobacterales; Enterobacteriaceae. The record is from RNAcentral.
UAUUCUGCUCCAUGGGGAAGGAUGAGAAGCUUCGACUAAGGUUCGACUCGAGCGAAGCGAGAGAACGUUGCCGCAGGCAACGGCCCGAAGGGCGAGGCGCUUUAGCGCCGAGUAAUCCUUCCCCCACCACCA